This 423-nucleotide unclassified non-coding RNA is filed under the name fungal sp. RNAcentral describes it as "partial internal transcribed spacer region". The stretch from base 1 to 46 matches the Rfam family "Eukaryotic small subunit ribosomal RNA", at positions 1786 to 1831 of the family's 1831-position model. The record is from RNAcentral. Lineage: Eukaryota; Fungi.
AAGUCGUAACAAGGUUUCCGUAGGUGAACCUGCGGAAGGAUCAUUAACACGUAUCCAACGUUAAACCCCCCGUGAACCUACACACUUCCUUCUUUGAUUCAGGGACUUCCACGUGCAGAAUCGCUUUAGAUGGUCUUCAACAUAAGAGGAGAGGCAAGAGGAUGGUCCCCUCACAAGGCGCCACGCGUUCUGAAAGUGUUCGCGCGUCGUUUUGUGAGGAGUCCGUUGGAAAGCGGAAUGACUGGAAGGCCAUCACGGCCGGUCAUCUGUCCCCUACGCGCCGCGUUCCAAAUGUACGAACGAGCAUCGGAUGCCCUUCCGUCCCUCGGUGGACAAUAACCGGUAGAUCAAUGUUUUGCUAGCCGAUGAGUCCGCUAGCACCUAAUACUUGAACAACUGUUAACAAUGGAUAUCUUGGUUCUC